CAACGAGCGAGACCCACGCCCACAGUUGCCAGCKURUYCUCCGGAAUGANGGGUACACUGUKGGGACCGCCUCUGCUAAAGAGGAGGAAGGAAUGGGCAACGGUAGGUCAGSAUGCCCCGAAUAUYCCGGGCUACACGCGRGCUACAAUGGKUGGUACAAUGGGUAUCUACCCCGAAAGGGGAUGGCAAUCUCCUAAACCCAWCCUUAGUUCGGAUUGAGGGCUGCAACUCGCCCUCAUGAAGCUGGAAUCCGUAGUAAUCGUGUUUCAACAUGCRCGGUAAUAAGGCCCU
RNAcentral lists this ribosomal RNA (291 nucleotides) under uncultured euryarchaeote. RNAcentral describes it as "partial 16S ribosomal RNA". It matches the Rfam family "Archaeal small subunit ribosomal RNA", at positions 1039 to 1330 of the family's 1478-position model. The record is from RNAcentral. Lineage: Archaea; Methanobacteriati; Methanobacteriota.